Molecule: long non-coding RNA, 1660 nt
Organism: Equus caballus (horse)
Lineage: Eukaryota; Metazoa; Chordata; Mammalia; Perissodactyla; Equidae
Source: RefSeq, a predicted model, not a curated record
GGUUACAUCAGACAUAACCAUAUUAUAAACUGGAUGUUCGGCUCUUGGAACACAUCGCUGGUGCUGCAUACAAAAUAUGACUACUUGAGGACCAACAAUUCUGCAGCCAAGCUACAAAAAAGAAAAAGUUUGAAUGUAAGCUGAGAAAGCAUGGAUCUUUGCCUGCUCUGAUCAUUGCUGUGUCACAAGUACUAAAAUAGUGCUUAUCAGAUCACGGACAUUCAAUAAGUACUUGCUGAAUGAAUGAACUUUAAAGAAAAACGUGCUACAUCAGUGCUUCUUAAGACUUGAAUGUACACAGGAAUCACACUGCGAAUCUUGUUAAACUGCAGAUUCUAACUGCUCCCUGAGUGUUGGCGAGAUUCUGGGAUGGAACCUAAUGUUCAAAUGGCAAAGAUCGGGGGAGAGGAGUGCCUACAGAUGGCAGUGGGCAGCUUGAGUCUACGUGUGUGCAUACACCCGUGGAAGGUGAGUCAGAUCAGUAACCCUGGGACUCAAAAAUAAAGGCCCGUUGUUGAGGAGAGGGUGAAGAAAGCUUUAGAAAUAAAUAAAAGUUACUAGAGGUGUAAAAAAAAAAAAAAAAAGAACAAAAAGGAGAUGCCACACUUAAUUGUAAAGGCGCAAAGCUUCAUGAAGCUGUGGUGCUUUACAGUAGAUCAAAGACUCCUGCUUGCACUAUUCCCGUUUACUCAGCACUCCUCUGGUAUGUGGGCAUCACUGUCCUGUGCUAUGUAGAUGGGAAAAGAGAGGCUCAGGGACUGUGUGACUCGCCCAGGGCCACACAGCCAGGAUGUGGCCGCACCUGGGCUUGAGAAGAGGCAGCACCAUGACUGGAAACCCUGUCCCCUUCCUGACACACCACACUGGUCCUUGUCACAUGCUGCCUGCCCUUCUCUGCACGAAGGUCAGCACCCAGGCAGGAGCCCGUUCCUGACAUUUCUGGGGCUGAGUGGAGGCCUCUCAAGAGGAGGAGAUUCAUAGAUGCUUCUAAUGAAGAGGACGAGGACAAUGAGAUCAAUCCCGUAGGUUUUAGCAGCUGGAUUUGAAUAGCAGGGGAGUGGAUUCGUCUUUAGAGUAUGAGACCAGGUGACAGGUUCUCCCAUCUGUGUCUCCACAUAGGCAGGGAGGGUCUGUAUCUGUCCCUGAAGUACCUAAUCUUGGGCAUUAGCGAGAACAGUGGUUCUCUAUCCAGUGUGGUGCCUGGACCAGCUGCCUCAGCAUCACCUGAGAACUUCUUAGCAAUGAAAGUUUUGGGCCUGACUUUGGACACGCUGAGUCAGGAAUUCUGGGGUGGGUUCCAGCGUUCUGUGCUUUAACAAGCCCUCCAGGAGGUUCUGAUGCACUUUUUAAAGUUUGCUUGAACAGCAAUCGUUUAGGAAAGUGAAAUUGGUGACAUGGGUUGUGGUCCAUGAAGAUUUUGGUGAAAACGAAGAAUAGUUGUGAUGUGCCCUCAGGAAGCUGCCUCAGAAAAUGGGUUCAAGGAUUAACUUUUCCCUUACCUCCCUGACAUUUAGGAUCACCCCCCUGUUUCUUUGUCAGUUUUGUCACCUAGAACCAGACACUCCAGACCCUGCUAGGAGUAGGAUUAAAGGGAACUUUAUCUGUUUGUAGAAUGAAAAAACACAGGAAACAAAUAUGACAAAAUAGUUACUUUUAAAAU